GCAGAACCUGUGGCAGCCGCUGUACACAGCAGACUACCACAGCAGCACCACAAGUGUCCAGGGCGCGAGCCUGCAAGAGCCGGCGCCGCUGCCUUACACCGAUCCGCAGCCGCCGGCCCCCGCUCCUAUUGAUCAACCAUCUGUCAAGGUAUCGACCCUUAGGCUUAGCAAAGUUGGAUUCAGGGUUUGAAUUUGGGAUUUGGGGAAGGGGCCCUUCCAGUGAUAAUUUUUUGAAGGAGAAUGCAGGGGUUAUAUUAGAGUAUAUAAGCAUAUUACCCAUUGAAGGGGAUCAAGUGUUGACAUCUUUAUCGAUGGUUGUCCUAUAGGAGCUGCCGCCACCGGCCGCAGAAGUGAACGCCCCCGGAUCAGCGCCCUCUGUGGAUCCUGGGCAGACCACAACGGCCCCGGCACCCUCCGCUGUCGCCGCUGUUGCCUUCUUUGGCAGCCUGCAGCCCGGCCCGGUAAGUCAUCUUAUUUGCAUUUUCAAAUUUGAAUUCAAAUGGCAUUCCUUUUCUAAUGCUGCAUAAUUUGCGUGCGGGGUCUGCCUUGCUUCAAGGAGAGGUUGAUGACAUGAAGGAGAUCAAGUCGCCUUUAAUUAAGAUAUUAACUUUCCCCUGCACCUCACUCACUACUGCAAAUAUUACAUGCAGGGUCUGCCCUGCUUCAAGGAGACUUUGAUGGCCUGAAUGUGUGUCCGGUGGUUUUCAGCCUUGAAAAUGAUCCUUGGCAUGCAGGUGGCGGGUGCAGCAGCUGCCUCUUGGAGCCGUACUGGCAUUGCUGGCCUGACCACAGGCAUUGCAGUAGCCCUCCUGCUGCUGUUAGG
Molecule: long non-coding RNA, 823 nt
Filed under: Coccomyxa subellipsoidea
Lineage: Eukaryota; Viridiplantae; Chlorophyta; Trebouxiophyceae; Coccomyxaceae
Description: long non-coding RNA (CSUB_LNC000197)
Source: RNAcentral